CCACGCGGGCAGGCAAACGAUAUGUUCACUAUAUAAAGCCGACAGAGGCCAAUGCUUUAUCGACUGUUAUGAAUACAGCGGCAUUCAGGUCAGAAGUGCCAUCUACGUCCUUCAUCACAAAAAAGUCAGGGUAUUUUUAUUUCAUAAACUCGGAUUUUUAGUUAAAAGGAAAUACACACUAUUCAGGACAAUGGUGACAUACGGAUCCUUUCUAGCAUUUGUCUUUUUCCUGGGAAUCAUUACGGAAUAUGGUGCUUUAUGCAAACCGGACAAAAAGGAGGUUCCUAUGGCACAGGCGCAUAUUCAGGCACAAGAGAUUCCCGAGGCACUAAUCGCCAAACGAGGCCAAUUUCGUUCACUCUUCAAGAAAGAUCCUUGGAUGAUUGAUUGGAGACGAAUCUUUAAAUGAGCUAUUACCUUAAUAGAAACCAAUGGUUUUCAUUACCAAAAAAAACCCCAACAUAUUUGUAAUUUUUGCAGGUUCUUGAUGUAUAAGUUAAACGCGACUUGUAUUUUUAUCCCAAACUUUUGAAAUAAAUUGAAGUUAGUUCUGAA
This is a long non-coding RNA of Magallana angulata, 555 nucleotides long. RefSeq lists it as uncharacterized. The record is from RefSeq and is a predicted model, not a curated record. The transcript has 2 exons. Lineage: Eukaryota; Metazoa; Mollusca; Bivalvia; Ostreida; Ostreidae.